RNAcentral lists this transfer RNA (359 nucleotides) under uncultured Microcystis sp. RNAcentral describes it as "partial 16S-23S ribosomal RNA intergenic spacer". The stretch from base 133 to 206 matches the Rfam family "tRNA". Lineage: Bacteria; Bacillati; Cyanobacteriota; Cyanophyceae; Chroococcales; Microcystaceae. The record is from RNAcentral.
AAAGGGAGACCUAAUUCAGGUAUAAGACGAAAAAAAGUAGUCCCUACCAAGAAUCAAUCCCAAAAGGUCGGAACGAGGUAUGAGGCUUUCAAACUAGGUUCUGGGUUCAUAAAAGACCUGAAUCAGGAACAAGGGCUAUUAGCUCAGGUGGUUAGAGCGCACCCCUGAUAAGGGUGAGGUCCCUGGUUCGAGUCCAGGAUGGCCCACCUGCACAGGUGGCAAAAACAAGAGAAGCGAGGAAUCAGCACCUUAUCUUAUAUACAUAUAUAAGAGAGAAUGCUGGCUCUGAGUACAGAGUCAAGAGGAACCUUGAAAACUGCAUAGAGCUAGGUGAAAAAGCCAAAAAAGAAGACCGCAAG